UACAGAGGUCCCAAGCGUUGUUCGGAUUCACUGGGCGUAAAGGGUGCGUAGGUGGUGGGGUAAGUUUGUGGUGAAAGCUCCGGGCUCAACCCGGAAAAGGCCAUGAAUACUAUCUCGCUAGAGGGUUGGAGGGGGGAUUGGAAUUCUCGGUGUAGCAGUGAAAUGCGUAGAUAUCGAGAGGAACACCAGUGGCGAAGGCGAAUCCCUGGACAACAUCUGACACUGAGGCACGAAAGCUAGGGGAGCAAACGGG
RNAcentral lists this ribosomal RNA (253 nucleotides) under uncultured bacterium. Its description in RNAcentral is "partial 16S ribosomal RNA". It matches the Rfam family "Bacterial small subunit ribosomal RNA", at positions 524 to 776 of the family's 1533-position model. The record is from RNAcentral.